GCCGUUCUUAGUUCGUGGAGUGAUCUGUCUGCUUAAUUGCGUUUCACUACGAUUUAAAAUAUUAUGUUUGUUUGUUUGCUGUUCAGUGUUUCGGCACUUUGAACGCACAACACAUAAUUCCAAACAAUCGGAAAGCAACGAACGUGACCGCAACCUCUUGUUGCCUUUAUUUUUAAAGUAUAAUAUUUUUUCUCUUUCGGGAGAAAUAUUUAUUGUAUUGAAAAAGGCUUUAAAACUAGAGGGACCGCUGUUCUUAUUUCUAAAACCAGAGGAAGAUUGCGGCAAUAACAGGUCUGUGAUGCCCUCAGAUGUUCCGGGCUGCACACGUGCUACAAUGAUUGUUGCAGUGAGCAUCUAUUUUCAAACGCUACCGUGGUGGAUUGUUAUUUAUGUUUUUUGAUUUCUUCGGAAUGAAAAGAAACUAUUUAAUUUAUUCCACAUUACGUGUCAGCUAAACCUGGUUCGAAAGUAACUAGGUAAUCAAUUGGAAGUAACGAUUUCCUUUUAUAGGAAAGCACAAUUUAUGGUCUUUUUGUUACUGCAGGCUAUUUACUUCGGUUUAUAGUUCUCGUCGGUUAACAUAAGAUAUCUGUGCUACAACCAUUUAAUUUCAAGGUGGGGACAGACCAUUGUUAAUUGUUGGUCUCGUUUUAACUAG
RNAcentral lists this ribosomal RNA (658 nucleotides) under Bathysiphon sp. RNAcentral describes it as "SSU rRNA". The stretch from base 1 to 333 matches the Rfam family "Eukaryotic small subunit ribosomal RNA", at positions 1287 to 1501 of the family's 1831-position model. Lineage: Eukaryota; Foraminifera; Astrorhizida; Bathysiphonidae. The record is from RNAcentral.